UUCUAUGUUUGAAAGUUUCUGCAUUUUUAUUUUAUAUAUGUUGCAGAAGUUGGGUGAGAUUCCAGCUUCUUUUUUUUUUUUUUUGAACUACGAGAAGACUCCAGUUAUUUUCUAUUGAUUUUAUUGUUCUAUUCCUCCUGGAGUGGGUUUUUCAAAACCUGUCUCAGGCCCGAACAUAACCCAAUCUUUGACUGGCUUCGGGCUUUGUGCCAAAAGUACACCCCUAGUUCUCAGGCUCUGCUGAGUCUUGAGUAGGAUGUGAAAUGGCCUUGGGCAUCCAGGACUUGGGCUUUGAAGGGAAUGACCUGAACAGGUUGUCAGGCUCAAGCUCAGAGUUCAGGUUUUUUUGAACUCAAAUUUCAAGCUUGAAAUAUUGAACUUCAGUCAAACUUCAAAUUUCAAGCAGUAUACUAACGGUACAAGCUAAUCAUUAGUAUAGUAUGGGAUUACGAAGCUUUAUGAAUUAUAGUACAAGUAAUAGUAAUAGUAAUAGGUGUUCUUUUCCCAUUCUACAUAGGCUUUUCCCUUUCUUGUUCUUCUAUUACAAUAAUUUCUAUUCAUACAAAAAAAAAGGGAGAAAAUUAUGACUAAUAAAACUAUAAUUUUCUCAUAUAUGUCAUAUCUUGGCCUAUGAUGUUCUUAAUCAAGCUGCAUGAUUCACUCCAUUAUCUAUCUCAUCUAGCUACUGAAAGUGGAAAUUUAUCAGUAAGCUAAUAGAAUGUGGACAAAUCUGUGACAUGGAUUUCAUAUCUUGAAUAAAUUAAGCAUAUUCAUAUAAUGGAUUAUGUUAUGACACUUAAUCUUAG
RNAcentral lists this long non-coding RNA (806 nucleotides) under Vitis vinifera (wine grape). RNAcentral describes it as "long non-coding RNA (VVIN_LNC000784)". The record is from RNAcentral. Lineage: Eukaryota; Viridiplantae; Streptophyta; Magnoliopsida; Vitales; Vitaceae.